Molecule: transfer RNA, 62 nt
Filed under: Pedionis papillata
Lineage: Eukaryota; Metazoa; Arthropoda; Insecta; Hemiptera; Cicadellidae
Description: tRNA-Phe
Source: RNAcentral
UAUCUUAAUAGCUUAUUUAGAGUGUAAUAUUGAAGAUAUUAAGGAAUUUUUUUUUAAGAUAU